Ictalurus punctatus (channel catfish) is the source of this 3993-nucleotide long non-coding RNA. The record is from Ensembl. NCBI's taxonomy places the organism in Eukaryota, Metazoa, Chordata, Actinopteri, Siluriformes, Ictaluridae.
GAAGGUGUUAGCAGAACCUGGUUGGUUGUGACGACGGCUUCAGGCGUGAGCAGAACCUGUUUGGUUGUGAGGUUGGCUUCAGGCGUGAGCAGAACCUGGUUGCUAGUGACAUCGGCUUCAGGCGUGAGCAUAACCUGGUUGUUUGUGACGUCGGCUUCAGGCUUGAGCAGAACCUGGUUGGUCAUGACAUCAGCUUCAGGUGUGAGCAGAACCUGAUUGGUCGUGACGUUGGUUUCAGGCGUGAGCAGAACCUGGUUGGUCGUGAUGUUGAUUUCAGGCAUGAGCAGAACCUGGUUGGUCGUGAUGUUGGUUUCAGGUGUGAGCAGAACUGGUUGGUCAUGACGUCGGUUUCAGGCAUGAGGAGAACUUGGUUGGUUGUGUCAACAGACUCAGGAAUGAGCAUAACUUUGUUGUCCAUGUCAGCGACCUUGGCCUGGAGCUUGGUGUGGGUGGUCGCCUCAUCAGACUGGAACUUGGCAUGGAAGCUCACAACGUCAAUCUCAAACUGGAACUUAGCGUGGAAGGUCACAUCGUCAAUCCCAGACUGGAACUUAGCGUGGGGGGUCACGUUGUUGAUCUCAGACUGGAACCUGUCUUGGGAGGUCACCUCGUCGAUCUUUAACUGGAACUUGGCAUGGGAGAUCGCGUCGUCGACUUCAGACAGGAACUUGGUGUAGGAGGUCGCCUCAUCGACCUCAGACAGGAACAUGUCUUGGCAGGCUGCCUAGUCGAUCUCAGACAGGAAUGUGUCUUGGGAAGCCGUCUCUUUUCGACCUCGGACAGUAACUGGGCUGUAGAGGUCGUCUCUUCGACCUCAGACAGGAACAUGGCUUGGGAGGCCGUCUCGUUGACCUCAGAUAGGAACAUGGCAUGGGAGGACACCUCGUUGUCUUCUAGCAGGAACUUGACUUUAUGCUGGAGCUCUGGAGAUGAGACCGCCUCGUGGGGGGCUCAUGCUGGAGCUCUGGGAAUGAGACCGCCAUGUAGGUGUCAUGCUGGAGCUCUGCAGAUGAGACUACCUCGUGGGUCUCAGGUUAGAGCUCUGGAAAUGAGGUUGCCAUGUUAACCUCCAGCUGGAGGUCUGCAGGUGAGACCACCUCGUGGGUUUGGGGAGGAGGUCACCCUGUUUGCCUGCUCGUAGGUAUAUCUGCGACGCUGUCCCCCCCCAAGAAAAUUUUUUCCAGUCAGCAGUCAGCAAGAAAAUAUUUAGGGUAGCUAAAAAACUCAUCGUAUGGAUCUGGGAGUCCUAUAACAGUCCACAGGGGUAACUGGAUCGAAUCCAAACCUGGGACACAAUGAACCCGAGCCACUGCCCUUUGUCUGGCUUGGGGUUCACCAGUGUGGUUUCUUCUCCAUCUUCCUGCUGCAUCCAUGGUGUGGCGAAGUAUUCUGUCACGAGAUCGACAUAAUGGAGGUUAGGAUGGAUGCAAAUGCAGAUAAGAGUUUAUCUAGAGAGAGACAGGCAGACCAAUCCAAAACAUGUAACAAGCAAGGUCAAGAAACAGGCAAUGGGUCAGGCGAUUGUCAAGCAGGCAUAAAAAUGGCAAGGUAAGAAUCAAGAAUGAGAAACAAGAAGCAAAAUCAAUGGACAUGAAACAAAAUGAGGAACAGGGUACAAACGCUUGGUAUGGUGAUAACACUCAAUAUUUCGCAAAGUCAUUGUGUUCAAACUGUCUCUCUAUACUGUGGUUGUGAGUGCUGUGAAUUUGAUGCAGGAGUGCAUGAUUAGAAUGAAUGUGAGUGUUCUGGGAAUUGCCGUCCAUGGUGGCCAUGUUUGUAGGCUGCAGUGCAGGAUGGGAAAUGUAGUCACUGGUUUGCUGUGAUAUGACAUAUAGGUUACAUGAGAAUGUGAAAGAGAGCAGCUCAGGAAAACUGCAGCUGCAUGCUGGUUUUAAAUACAGUCGUGAAAAAAACAAGUAUACCCCAUUUAAAUCGUUGGCUUUUUUGACAUAUUUGGACAAGCAAACAUUUGAUAAUCUUUGAAACAGAGCCUAUUAAUGACUUCAUUAAUGGCUUCAGUCAUUAAUCAGCCUAUUAAUGACUCUGUUUCAAACAUGAUCAAAUGUUAGAACAAUAUACUUGAACAAAACCACAAGUACAAUUAGCUUUUUCAAUCAUUUAUUCAACAGAAAUAUCAUUAGAUGUGAUAUCCAUCUGUGGAAAAAGUCAAUACACCAUGGGCCUCAGAAGCUAGUUUUGCCCCCUUUAGCAGAAAUAACAUAUUGUAUGCAUUUUGCAUAGUUGUCCACUAGGUUUGCUGGAAUUUUUUGACCACUCUUCCAUACAAUAUUCUUUCAGUCGCACAAUGUUUGCGGGUUUUCAUGCAGGUACUGCCCAUUUCAAAUCCCCCCAGUUUUUCUGAUAAAACUGAAAUGGAGAUUGGAUACUCACCAUUCCAACGCAGGGCUUUUAACUGCCAUCAACAACUCUGUGACUUGAGUUCUGUCAGAUGCUUGGAAUUACUCGUCAUCAAUGAUGAUACACAGCUCAUCCAGAAUAUGCCUGAAUACUCACUGUUCAGUAACUGGUGUUAUCCUCUGCAUCUGGUCUAACAACAGGGCUCCACUUAAGUCCAAGUCCCUGUCUAUAGUUGAUAUAUCUCAACAGCGAUGACCAGCACCAUAAUUAGCAGCUCAACCCUGAUGUUUCACUUCGUCAUUUUGCUCUUCUGAUCUGUUCCUCCGAUAAAGCCUCAUACAUGAACAGAAAAAUCACAAAAUCUAACAAAAACCUCAAUAUGUUACUACUCGUUGAAACCUGGCAAGUACCCAAUGAUUAUUUGCAGCAGAACCUACUUAUACCACAUGGAUAUAAUCACCUUUCCCGACCAUGGCUACACAGCAAGGUGGGUGGCCUUGCUGUCAUCAAUCAAAAUGAUUUGCAUUUCACCCAACUAAACUUUCACAACACUAAUACAUUAUGUAUUAGUGGUAUACAAUACAAUAUGUGGUAUUGAAGGCUGUUUCUCACUGUCCUCUCACAAUUAUUCUAUUAUAUCAUCCUCCUAAGGCUCAAUCAGACUUUUUCUCCAAACUCAUUGAACUGUUAACUCUUGCCUGUGCUUCGUCAUCACGUGUCCUCUUGCUUGGUGAUGUUAAAAUUCAUGUGGAUACAAUGGGCUCUAACUCAUCUCAACUAUUGUCUGGUUUUUACUGUUUCAAUUUGACUCAACAUGUGACUUUUUCUACUCGCACUCAUGGUCAUACUCUUGAUAUAAUUUGUACAUCUGGGUUUGAAAUUGCUUCAAUCUCUUUUGACAUUAUCAUCUUUGAUCACAAGCUCAUUGAAUUUUGUCUCUGUCUACCUGCUCAAAAGAAAUGCAGUAAAACAAUGAUGAACUUAAAUAUCUUGAUGCCACGUUAGUCUCUGCUUCCAUUGCUGCCGCUACAAUUUCUGAUGUCUUUGAUAUCUCCUGUCCUUCAAUGAUACUCUCAAAGUACCACUCUGUUAUUUCUGUUAUUUUGCAUGAGCACACUCCUAUUAAGACUAGGUCUGUUCCCUCCUCCCACACUUCCUCCUGGUAUACACCUGAGCUCCAGGCCUUAAAAGUCACUGGUAGAUGGCUCAAGCAGCUUUAUAGGAAAACUGGUCUUAUUGUUUACCAUCUAGCUCUCAUUGAUCACCUCAACACAUACAAAACUGCUCUGAACUCUACAUGAUCUAGCUAUGUUUCUUCAAUUGUCAGAAAACAAGCAGUAGGCCUAAGGUUUUGUUUGACACAAUAAAUAAGCUCACUCAGCCUCCAGCUCAUAAUAUUCAUGCAUCUGAAGAGCUCUGUUCUUUUCUGAAUUAUUAACAGGAAAAGUUGAAUGCUGUCUGCCAGUGCUUUGUAGGCAAGGUCUCAGAUUUUAGGUUUCUGCCUGACUACUCUUGUCAACAAUUGUUUAGUUUUAUUCCUACAACCCCCUUUUCAAUCAGUGACUUAUCACUGAAAUCCAGUUAUUCAUCUUCGUCAGUUCUGAUUUGAUCCUGCUCUGAUGCUGUCAUUCUGUC